AGGAUCGAACCAGGGUCUCCGUGGCAGCAGUCAAUGCAUUAAACCUUUAGACCAGUUUUGAUCAGACAUUUGUAGAACCUUUGUUUGUAUUCAUCGACGAGUAAAUCCCUGAAAACGCUUGGUGCCAAAAAAUCUGACAAAUACCAAUAAACAUCAGAACACUAUCGCCGUGAUUUAGUCUGUGCGUUAUGACGAGAACUACGAUGUAGGCUACCCGGGUUCGAACCUAGCUGCUCGUAUGUUAUGUUAAAAUAUUUAACUGUCGGCUUUUUCAACGUAACACACAUUUUCGCUACUUUCCUGUGUUAAACUUAUUUUUUUUUUUCAAUUAUUGCGUCAUCACCGUCAACCUAUUUAAGUCGGGCCAAAUGCGACACUCGUUCUCUUUUGCCAGCGACCCGUCACCGGCGUUUCCACAAGAUCGUCCAAAACUUUGACAAGGGCACGCUAACACCUUGCUAGCAUGCUAGCUAAAACCUUUGAGCUCUCGGAGGCAUUUAAUGUCUCCUGCGAGCUUAAACUACACCAAAACGCAUUUAUCUGGCGUAUACGCUGAUAAAUGAAUGCACGCAAAGUGCCGUUUUGCAAGAGGUUUGAAUCUUCAACCGAAUGGCCAAAUGGACUGAAUUCCUGUCUCUCGACACAGCAUAUCCUUUAUUAAACAGAAUAAAUCAAUUAAUGGUCUUUGGGUUAAUUCUCAUUUCUGAUUACAGGUUCAAAUCUUCAACAAAAUGGCUGACUUCCUCUGACUUUCGGGGCAGGCCUCUUGAGCCUUUUGCCGUCGUUGACGAGGCGUCCGGCUGCGCCCUGCUCGCCUCACUGCACGAGCUGACCAGGCAGCCUCCAGCGACAUCAUCACAGUUCAGGAAGAAUCUGAAGGACUGAAGGAGGGUAAGGACACCCGAGAUGACUUUCCAGCAGUGAUGACU
Phyllopteryx taeniolatus (common seadragon) is the source of this 929-nucleotide long non-coding RNA. RefSeq lists it as uncharacterized. The record is from RefSeq and is a predicted model, not a curated record. Lineage: Eukaryota; Metazoa; Chordata; Actinopteri; Syngnathiformes; Syngnathidae. The transcript has 7 exons.